Molecule: long non-coding RNA, 366 nt
Filed under: Panax ginseng (ginseng)
Lineage: Eukaryota; Viridiplantae; Streptophyta; Magnoliopsida; Apiales; Araliaceae
Description: long non-coding RNA (PGIN_LNC015841)
Source: RNAcentral
AAUUGUCUGUUCUGAUUUAUUGAUUUGCACCUAUUUUGAAUUCAGGGUUUUUGAAAUUGCAAUUUUUGGUUGCAGAUAUGGCCCCAUUGUACGAAACCCUAGCCUCGAGUUCCGUGCUGAAAUUAGAUAAGAAGAAGUCGAGCUUAUUCUGUAUCAAGUUUCAGAAUGUUACGUUUAUUUGGUAUUCCAAUCCUGAUCUAUAUCAAAUUCACUCUCUUUAUCUAAUUAAUUUAUAUACGUGUGUGUACGCAUUUAUCGGUGAUUAUGUAGAUGUGUGAGCCGUGCAGCAUUGAUAUAUGUCGCCUCUGGGGAUUAUUCAGUUAUUAUUAAUGAUUUUAUCUGAUGCUAUUAACAUUAAACAUUUAG